AAAAGUCGUAACAAGGUCUCCGUAGGUGAACCUGCGGAGGGAUCAUUACACAACAAAAAUAUGAGGGUGUGGUUUGCUGGCAACAGCGUCCGCCCCAAGUAUUUUUCACCCAUGUCUUUUGCGCACUUUUUGUUUCCUGGGCGAGUUCGCUCGCCACCAGGACCCAACUAUAAACCUUUUUUUAUGCAGUUGCAAUCAGCGUCAGUAUAAUAAUUCAAUUUAUUAAAACUUUCAACAACGGAUCUCUUGGUUCUGGCAUCGAUGAAGAACGCAGCGAAAUGCGAUACGUAGUGUGAAUUGCAGAAUUCAGUGAAUCAUCGAAUCUUUGAACGCACAUUGCGCCCUUUGGUAUUCCAAAGGGCAUGCCUGUUCGAGCGUCAUUUGUACUCUCAAGCUUUGCUUGGUGUUGGGCGUCUUUUUGUCUCUCCCCUCGUUGGGGGAGACUCGCCUUAAAACGAUUGGCAGCCGACCUACUGGUUUUCGGAGCGCAGCACAAAUUUGCGCCUUCCAAUCCACGGGGCGGCGUCCAGCAAGCCUUUGUUAUUCUAUAACAAAUCCACAUUUUGACCUCGGAUCAGGUAGGGAUACCCGCUGAACUUAAGCAUAUCAAUAG
RNAcentral lists this unclassified non-coding RNA (613 nucleotides) under Exserohilum prolatum. RNAcentral describes it as "sequence contains 18S rRNA gene, ITS1, 5.8S rRNA gene, ITS2". The stretch from base 227 to 380 matches the Rfam family "5.8S ribosomal RNA". Lineage: Eukaryota; Fungi; Ascomycota; Dothideomycetes; Pleosporales; Pleosporaceae. The record is from RNAcentral.